GACGAACCGUGCGAACGUUAUUCGGAAUCACUGGGCUUAAAGCGCGUGUAGGUGGAAGGGCACGUCCGUUGCUGAAAUCCCCCGGCUCAACCGGGGAACGGGCGCGGAUACGACUCUUCUGGAGGGGCGUAGGGGGACCUGGAACUUCCGGUGGAGCGGUGAAAUGCGUUGAGAUCGGAAGGAACGCCCGUGGCGAAAGCGAGGUCCUGGACGCCUACUGACGCUGAGACGCGAAAGCCAGGGGAGCGAACGGG
This 254-nucleotide ribosomal RNA is filed under the name uncultured bacterium. RNAcentral's name for it is "partial 16S ribosomal RNA". It matches the Rfam family "Bacterial small subunit ribosomal RNA", at positions 524 to 776 of the family's 1533-position model. The record is from RNAcentral.